ACUCAGUGAAAUUGAACUCGCUGUGAAGAUGCAGUGUACCCGCGGCAAGACGGAAAGACCCCGUGAACCUUUACUAUAGCUUGACACUGAACAUUGAGCCUUGAUGUGUAGGAUAGGUGGGAGGCUUUGAAGUGUGGACGCCAGUCUGCAUGGAGCCGGCCUUGAAAUACCACCCUUUAAUGUUUGAUGUUCUAACGUUGGCCCCUGAUCGGGGUUGCGGACAGUGUCUGGUGGGUAGUUUGACUGGGGCGGUCUCCUCCUAAAGAGUAACGGAGGAGCACGAAGGUUGGCUAAUCCUGGUCGGACAUCAGGAGGUUAGUGCAAUGGCAUAAGCCAGC
RNAcentral lists this ribosomal RNA (338 nucleotides) under Escherichia coli. RNAcentral describes it as "partial 23S ribosomal RNA". It matches the Rfam family "Bacterial large subunit ribosomal RNA", at positions 2031 to 2368 of the family's 2925-position model. Lineage: Bacteria; Pseudomonadati; Pseudomonadota; Gammaproteobacteria; Enterobacterales; Enterobacteriaceae. The record is from RNAcentral.